GUCCUCUCAGAGUCACAUUUGGAGAGUUUCUUGUACUCUACCAGUCUCGACUAUGGGAGGGAGAGUUAAGCAGAGACAUACCCAUUCCAUUCCUAGCUUGGCCAGUGGCUAGCGAGUGGAAGGCAAUCUACUACAAGU
Tachyglossus aculeatus (Australian echidna) is the source of this 138-nucleotide small nucleolar RNA. Lineage: Eukaryota; Metazoa; Chordata; Mammalia; Monotremata; Tachyglossidae. The record is from RefSeq and is a predicted model, not a curated record.